AGCUAAAGCACGGGAAGAAACAGAAAUGCGCCUGCUGGGCAAACGCUUGUUUUUUGUUAAGGGCACUUCUGUAGCGAGUUGAGGGGUGAGAGGAGCUUCUGCACUUUUUAAAUUUCAAAGAAAAGGGUUUUCCUAGGAAAUGUUUCCACCCACCUCUGUCAUGCGCCUUGCAUGCAAGUCACAGAGCACUGCAGAAGCCAGGCCCACGCAGCAGCCUGCAAGGGAUCCCGGGUGUGGUGCCAUCUGGCCCCCUCCCUCUGGUCCUUAAGGCGGGGACCCCACCCACCGAGCUGCUGGCUCCUCGGAGAUUCGGGUGACAAGCUCUGCGGGUGAGAAGAACCAGAACCAACCCCCAACCCAACCUGCUGGGUCUGCUUCCUCGUGAAAGAGGGAGCCACCCGGGAUGGGAAUGGCACACGUGUAGGGCAUUCAGAACAAAGCACAGGAUAAGCGCCAGGUGUGAAAACAGGGAAGCAAACGCCUUCACGGGUGCCCACACCCCUUUCGGCCAGGCCUCUACUUCCCCAUACGGAAAGCUGAUGAUGCCACCCAUCUCCCGGCUCGGCCACUUCCCGGCCCUAGGACACACCUACUGACGUGACACUACAGGCGGGUGCGGGCGAGCCAGCUGCAAAUUUGUUCUGUGGAGGGCUAAAUGUUAGGGUCUGGGCUACAGGCACUCAGCUGUGGCACUGAGAGCAAAUGCAGGCCCCAGGCAACCCCGCAGCAAGUGGGCGUGGCUGUGUGCCAAUAAAACCUUAUUGACAAAAACAGGCAGCAGCGCAGCUCUCCUUGAGUCUCAGCUUGCCCAGCCCUGGCUUGCCUGCUGAGCCGGGGAGCACCGGCUUCGUCCCUUUCCACAGAAACCGCUCCUUUGAUCCUUGAGCCGGGACAGGCCAGCCCCUCCCCUCUGCCCCGGGCGUGGGCUCUCUGAUUAACCACGGUGUGGGCACCCAGAAGGUGCGGCGCGUUCGCAGGGCUUCUUUCUGCAUCCUUCUACCUUCAGGCGAGGCUGGCAGGGUCUGUGACUCAGAGGCCAGCGCCCGAGCUGGGCGCCAGCGCGUGGCCAGCAGAGGGCGCCCGCCGCCCGCCCCAGGCUCCUUUCCCAGAACGCGGCCUCGGCCCCGCCCAGCAGGAUGUGGCUUCGCCCUCCCACCACCCGCUGCCCAGGGGUCCCAGGGAGCGGCCUUUGCUUCCGCACAGGGGAUGUCGUGCAGGUUUCCAGAUUUUACACAUGCGUGCCCCCACCCCUACUUUGUUUCUAUGGCGACGGCGCCCCUUCCUCUGGACUGCCAAGCGUCUCAGGAAGGACCACUCUUACAUAAGGCGGGGAGCAUGCGAAAGACGUUUUUCUAAAAUGGUCAAUAGCUAUUACAUGAAAAGACCAGGCCAGCACCCUCUGCAGGACAGGACCGACUCUGGGAUAAUAGGCCCUGUCUGCAACGUUGGGACAGGUGGGCUUCUGCAACGACACGCACAAGACAGAGGAGACACCGUGCAGCGCCCACACCUGACAGCCUCAAGUCCGUGGGAUGGCUGAAGUGAGGGCAGUAACUGGACGUCCUGUCAUCAGCAGCGCCGAUGUCUCAUUAAGAGCCAUGACUCUCUUCCCUACCCUGCAGACGUGCAGCCAGCCGGAGGACCAAACGUUUCCACAACCGAGCCAGCCUCCCCAGGUGCACAAACGCUGCCCGUCUGUGGCCUCGGAUCCCAGAGAGGAGAGCAACUUGGGCUCGUGUCUGGGUGAGAAAACGAAGCUUCCAGAACAAACGGAAACAGACUCCAUAAGCUACGGGCUGUGAUGUGCGCUAAAGAGUCCACCCUGAGUCUCAGGAAAGGCUCAAGAAGGACGUCUGGAUUCGGAUGAUACUUUCAAACGCUUCGGGUGCUUAAAGAGCACAGCGUAAGGCCUGGAGAGGGAGAGAAGCUCAGUUGUUAUUUCGAAAGGAGAAGCCCUUCAGUUACAGAAGAAAAUGAAGCAUCUGAUGAUGUUUACAGACCUCAUUAGCUACUCUUACCAGGAAGUGAUACAAAUUAGAGAAAGAGAGCAAAGCUUAAAUGACUCACUUGCAGAUUCCUGUGGCUUGGUACCCUUGUUUCCAAACUCCCAUUUGCUGGAACACUGUCUUUAGAUGCAAAACCAUUCUCCUAGGAUUCUGACAUUUUAACACCCACAUAGCAACAAAAAUAAACUUUGAUGUGACAUCAGAAACCUAUGGCUUCUGGACUUAAUAAAGCCACAGACGUUAAUACAACGUUUCCUUUCUCAGUAACAUGUUUCAGAGAAAGUUGUUGACGAUCCGGACGGGCACAGAACUCAACAUUCAAAGCCAACACUGCGACAGUUUUGAAGCUUGUGCCCCUGUGUCUUACUGAUUCACUGUGGCUGUUGAGAAACCUGGAAUCACGUUUGCUCCCUUGCUUUUCUCUCUGAACUGCCCAGCGGUUUCUCACUGGGUGGGGGCUUCUCUGCUCCGUGGGCCACGCGGAGGGCACUUUCACUGUGGUGGGCCACACCUUCAGUUCUGGUGGUUUUUCUGUAGUACUCUUAGCUAGUUUACCCUCCUCUGCUUAAGAGGACAUCUCACCAUGCUGGGCUGGGAUGCAUCAAGUCAGCGGGCGCCAGCACUGGUGUCCAGCGUCCCUGGGCAGGGAGUCCAGGCUGGGGCUGGACAGGAGCGGAAGCUGCCUGAGGCGGGGCAUCGGAGGACGGAGGUCAGGGUGGUCGGAGGGGGUGGCAGGUGGGGGGGUGACGGAACCUGAUUUGUGGGGCCACCUGGGCUUGCGACUAGGUGAAGUGAGGCAGCCUUGUCCCUGAGCCUGAACCUGAGGGAUCAGACACCAGAAAGACAGGUCAGACCUGAGUGACACUGUCACACCUGGACAGUGUCCGCUCGGAACCACUGCUCAGUACGUAAAACACACGGAGGACAAGGCAGAGGAGCGAGAGCAGCAAACUCAUUGUGAAAAAGACAGAAGCUGCGGAACCACACGCAUGCCUCUCAAAGUCCUCAGAGCUUCAGCGACCAGGGCAGCGAGCGGACCGCCCAGCGCGGCUGACCGACUCGUGACGAAGGCCAAAAGCAGCUCCGAAGGAAGGCAGUGUCCUCGGGAAAACGGUGUGGAGACACCUGGACAUCCGAGAGCAAAAGCAAUCAAGGAAGAAGAGCCUUGACCCACACCUCGCUCCGUGUGAGAUGCCGCGUACAUCUAAACACAGCAAAGAACCACAACACUUGGGGGGGAAUCUUUGUGGCCCGGGGUCAGGUGAGCAGCCUCGAUGCUGAUCCCCAAACACAAGCGACUGAAAAUACGGACCCGCUGGACGUCGUCAAGAUUAAAACCACUUGCUCCGUGAAAGGCUCUCUCAGGCGGAUGAAAGAAAAGCCGCAGAUUAGGAGAAAAUGCUCGCAAACCACACACCCAACCAAGGACUUCUGUUGGAAGGGAAACACCACCUUGACAGCAAGGAAACAAACGAUCCAAUAGGAAAAUGGGCGAACCAUCGGGACGCAGGCUCCUAAGCUGGCGAAAGAGAACGUGGGGACACGCGAGGCAGAGCAGCGAGACUCGUGCCAGGCUCUGGGCACUCAGCUCACCUGAAAACCAGCCUCACCCGUGCAGACGCACCAGCCCAGCCCGGGGGCCUCCCAGCGUCGUGCGCCCUGUCCACGAGGUCGCAGCAGCGCCACCGGGGCAGCCCAGGCGGAAACUGUCCGCAAGGAGGGUCCGUGGCUGCGGCCGGCACCGUGCUGACUGGAAGCCCAGGGUGCACGCACGUGGCCGUCUCAAAGGACGACGUUCUAGCACAGGGGACAAAGCAGGGGCUGCCAGGAGGGGGGUCUGGAGGAAGGGCGGCCGAGAGGCAGCUUUUCUGGGGUGCAGUCCCGGACCCUCACUGAGGAGGGGCUGUGCCAACGCCCACACGGGCUGCAAUUCCACAGAACACCCCCUGCCUCCCGAGAGAGGGCGUGCCCCCGGGCAGGGCCCGCCCCCGGGCAUUUUCUGCUCUGAACGUUGUCCCGAGAUGGGUCUGCGGCGCUAUGAUGCGCAGCUGCGUGGAGGGUGCCCAGGAUCUCUCCAUACUGCUUUUGCAACUUUUGUGUGAGUCUGAAUUUAUUUCCACUACAACUUUUCCAUUGCGUAGCCUCUGUAAAAUGACGCUGUGAUCCCGUGGGGGAGCAGCGGUCUGUGCAGGCACCAGGAGCCUGGUCUCCGCAUCAGAGCGGGGAGUGACACCAUUCUCAACCUGGUCCAUGAGAAGUGUUCAGGCACUUGUGACGCAACCACAGACGGUCCUGCUCAGUGAGGGCAGAAAGAGAAAGACAGCAGAUGGCAUCAGUUACACGUGGAACCUAAAAUACGGCACAAACGGACCCACCUACGGCGCAGAGACAGACUCCCAGACGUGGAGAGCAGACCUCCGCGGCUGCAAAGGGGUCAGAGGUGAGAAGGACUGGGAGUCUGGGAUUAGCAGACGCAAACUAGUGCACGCGGGACAGACAGGCAGAAAGUCUGUGCUGUUUAACUCGGGACUAUAUUCCAGUGUCUGUGAUAAACCGUAACGGAAGAAAACAGUCUAAAAAGAUGUAUGUAGGAGCUCCCAUCCUGGCUCAGUGGGUAACAAACCAGACGUGCAUCCAUGAGGACACGGGUUUGAUCCCCGGCCCUGCUCAGUGGGUCAAGGAUCCGGCGUUGCCA
Molecule: long non-coding RNA, 4701 nt
Organism: Sus scrofa (pig)
Lineage: Eukaryota; Metazoa; Chordata; Mammalia; Artiodactyla; Suidae
Source: RefSeq, a predicted model, not a curated record